RNAcentral lists this transfer RNA (76 nucleotides) under Klebsiella pneumoniae. RNAcentral's name for it is "tRNA-Lys(ttt)". It matches the Rfam family "tRNA". Rfam says of the family: Transfer RNA (tRNA) molecules are approximately 80 nucleotides in length. Their secondary structure includes four short double-helical elements and three loops (D, anti-codon, and T loops). Lineage: Bacteria; Pseudomonadati; Pseudomonadota; Gammaproteobacteria; Enterobacterales; Enterobacteriaceae. The record is from RNAcentral.
GGGUCGUUAGCUUCAGUUGGUAGAGCAGUUGACUUUUAAUCAAUUGGUCGCAGGUUCGAAUCCGCACGACCCACCA